Cyanistes caeruleus (blue tit) is the source of this 711-nucleotide long non-coding RNA. RefSeq lists it as uncharacterized. Lineage: Eukaryota; Metazoa; Chordata; Aves; Passeriformes; Paridae. The record is from RefSeq and is a predicted model, not a curated record.
UCUUAGCCUUUACUAAGCUGGCUGAUUCUGUAAAUGUUCCCAACGUUGACCUGAGUGAGGCUACGUGUAUGCAGAAGAAAAGCUGCCCUAGGAACCAUUUUCCUCCUUUUGAGCUCUCUCAAACAGAGAUUAUCCAAGGGAAAAAUCUAUCAGAAAGACAAAUGAUAGUAGCACAUCCCAACAUCCACUCUGCUGCCAACUCAGAGCAGUUCUCUGGGCUGCAGAGACCCAGCAAGACCAAAUCUGGUCCACUGCAUCUCACCCUUUCAGGAACAAGUACAGAGGAGCAGUGCACAGAUAUUGCAUCAUUUCUCUUCCUCUUCAGAGCAUUAAGGCAGGUUUCCUAUCACUGUCACCAUCAGGCCUCACACACUUACAGGAUUCCAGCAUUCAGGACACCUAAGUCCAUCUCACCUUGCAGUGCUCCUCACAGAAGAGCCCACAGCAGGACACAAAGGCAUGCAUGACACUUUCCUGACUGCAAAGGACAUCUCUCUUGCUCAUUUCCAGUAUAUCAGAACAGAGACAACUAGAUCAAAUGCAAAGGGAGCUGGGUGCUCCAAAAGGUGCUGUGGGAUGAAAAAAUAAGGUGUAUUUUCUGUCCUGAGGAAUGGGCUGUGCAGACGGGAAAGAACAUGAAGGCAGCCGGGAACAGUGAUCAGCAGAGAGGGCAAAGGCAGCACAGGGGCUCAUAAAUAUGUUUUGCUAUUA